This 467-nucleotide ribosomal RNA is filed under the name uncultured bacterium. RNAcentral describes it as "partial 16S ribosomal RNA". It matches the Rfam family "Bacterial small subunit ribosomal RNA", at positions 28 to 507 of the family's 1533-position model. The record is from RNAcentral.
GACGAACGCUGGCGGCGUGCUUAACACAUGCAAGUCGAACGGAAAGGCCUCAGCUUGCUGGGGUACUCGAGUGGCGAACGGGUGAGUAACUCGUGGGUGAUCUGCCUUGCACUCUGGGAUAAGCUUGGGAAACUGGGUCUAAUACCGGAUAUGAACUGCCUUUAGUGUGGUGGUUGGAAAGUUUUUUCGGUGCAAGAUGAGCUCGCGGCCUAUCAGCUUGUUGGUGGGGUAAUGGCCUACCAAGGCGUCGACGGGUAGCCGGCCUGAGAGGGUGUACGGCCACAUUGGGACUGAGAUACGGCCCAGACUCCUACGGGAGGCAGCAGUGGGGAAUAUUGCACAAUGGGCGGAAGCCUGAUGCAGCGACGCCGCGUGGGGGAUGACGGCCUUCGGGUUGUAAACUCCUUUCGACAGGGACGAAGCUUUUUGUGACGGUACCUGUAUAAGAAGCACCGGCUAACUACGUG